UCUGCCAUUUUCAGCCAUUUUCGGUUGAAUUCGGUCAAUUUUACAUCAAUUCCUGGGAGCACAAACGUUAAAAGGCCUCGGUGGACCCAAAAAAUAUAAAAAACCAAAACUCAUCGACGGCGGAGCUCUCCGGUGUGGCGGCUCCUCUGGCUCAUGUUGCAAUUGGGUGUUUCGCUUCGAUUAACCUGUAGAGAAAAAAACGGUGAUCACAACAGUGAAAAAAUUAUACGAAACGGGAAUCGAGAAGGACCUCAUCGGAGGCAGUUUGUGAAAUUCCCCACGGCAGCGCC
Molecule: long non-coding RNA, 290 nt
Filed under: Carica papaya (papaya)
Lineage: Eukaryota; Viridiplantae; Streptophyta; Magnoliopsida; Brassicales; Caricaceae
Description: long non-coding RNA (CPAP_LNC014403)
Source: RNAcentral